ACACCCCCUAUGUUCUCCAAGCCUCACUCUAAAGACCAGCCAGACCAGGGACAUCAGGCCCCUGGCUAACCUAUGGUCUGUUCCCCGAACUGCUCUGUAAAAGGAGUUUGCAAGCAGCAGGCUCCGGGGACAAACUUGACAAUCCCACAGCAAAAGUAGGAAACUGUGUUGAGAGGAAGUUCAUUCCUCUUGCAAGGGCAGGCUGGGCUGAGCAGAACACCAGACACAGGGCCUUACUUUCUGGAUAGAGCCAAACCCCGCAGACCCCCAGGACCUUGCCCUUAGGCCAAGGUUCUGAGAAACCUAAAGUCAUUCCACAUAUGAGCUGGCACUGGGCACCGGACUCCUUUGACCUUCAAAGGAACAGGUAGGCCCUGGGAUAAAGGCAAGGAGUCAUUUUCCUAAGGUCAUAGAAACCCAGGUGAUCCUCUCCAUAGCAUGGGAGUGCCCACAUAGGACCACACCAAAUGCUAACCUCCUUACAAAGACUCAACCCACUUUCCGUGCAUGGAAACUGAGGCCCCAGAAGUAAAGCCCAAAAUACACCGCUAAGGGGGAAGGUGGGACACAGACCCAUUGUUUGAAGCCACAGUUCCAGCUACAAGUUCUCAGUCAGGGUCUCCUAGCAGCUUGCAGCUGUCACUUGAGGCCUAGUGGCCCUCUCUCAGAGGGUGACCUUGCUCCCACCAGAUAGGAAGGAAGGAUGGGGAGGGGCUUUCCCUGUGCCUGAAGGGUCAGCAGCAAGGGCUCAGAGCCCAGCCAUCCCCAUUUCCCUGGCCCCCACCCCAACCUUCCUGUCCCUGUGCCUGCCUGCCGGCUUGCCUGCCAUGUUCCAGCCCAUUCAUGGCCUUGGCUUUGAUGGUCAGGAGUGUUCCUUGGCAGGAAAUUGGAGACUUAUGUCCUGCCUCCACCCCCAACUGAGCACCCAGGGGACUUGCCUCUACCUCUGUUUGGGGAAGGCCCGAGUCAUGCUCUCCCUGUGAGCCACAGGCCCUCCACUCCACUGGACAGCCCCAGCACAGAUUAUAGGCUUGUCUUCCUCUGCCCUCCCUCUCUGUCUCUCUCCCUCUCUCUACCCUCUGUCUUCACACAGUAUCUCUGGUCUCAUUCUCCAUCCUCUCCCCACCCCCUCCUUGCUUCCUUCCUGUCCCUCUCUUGCUUUCUUGCCGCAUCCUGCAGCUCCCCCCACUGAGCCUCGAGGAUAAUGCUUUAUGACAUCUCGGUUUAGCUGGCCAGAUGGAUUGUUUUGUGUAUUGUGGACAAACUUCCUGCUAAGCUGGUAGAUUUCUGCCAUCACCCCACCUUCAGCGUUUGGGACCUGAAUUCUAGGGUCUGAAUAUAUUCACAUAAACUGAAGUAGGAAUUAUAGUGUGGCCUCCAGCAAGGUGCUUGCCCUCUCUGAGCCUGUUUCCUGUGGACCAUAUAAUAGCACACUACUGCUAGGUUGAGUCAUGGCCCCACAGCCCCUGCUAAAGUCGGGAGGAAGGGCAGGAGGAGGCAAUAGAUCAUGGCUCCUGCCUGUUUUAUGUCUUGAAUCCCAUAGUAGUUAAUGGGUUAUCUGGGGGUAAACACCACCCACAGUUCUGCCACCACUAUCUCACAACCUUCUUUGCACCAGAAGACAAAACAGGGGUCACUGAGCCCAUUUCACAGACGGAGAAACUGAGGCAUCAGCAAUAGGACUGGAACUCAGUUUUCUCUCUAAGACCAAGGUUACUCCUGGGUGGGCAGAGAUGUGAGGAGGGAGUGGGGAGGGAAGUCCUUGCUGAGAUUCUGGGGGUCCUCCCAGGAUAAAUAAAUAAAAUUGGGUAUCCAUUGGGAGACAGGUAGAUGGCACCCAGCACACUGACGGAGGUAGUUAUACCCACAUCCAGCCAUUCGGCUGCCAGCGACUGAUGACUGGGCCCUUCCCCUCCUGCUCCUGGUUCCUGAUUCCAUCAAGAAGUCUCUGUCUGGGGCUAACGCGUCUUUAAUGACUCUCUAGCAUCUAGCAUUUGUCACUGUCCCUGCCGAAUAGAAAGAGGGUUUCAAGCUCGGUCAGCACCACAAGCUUACACCUUCUAGAAUUUACUCAGAACCGUCGUCGUUUAAGUUCCUGCCUGCUUCCAGCUAGGGGAGCUGGUUUCCAGCUUGGCAUGUGGUGUUGUCCCUGGUCAACUCCUGUGGGAAGGCCUUGAAAAGUGAUCCCUAGGCUCUGGCCAUGGCCACUGUCCAGGUGUGCAGAUCUGGAAUUGGUCGGGACGGGGGGUUGGGGGGGGGUGGAAGCUUUCCCUGGCUGCUGGGGACUCAGGGUGAGUGUGUUCCUCAGGUCAGGGCUUCCUUGCAUACAGCCUCCUGCAAAUCUCCUCUGGCAAUGCAGGGCAGAGGGAGGGAGGGAGGAGGGGAGGGGAGGGGGUGAGAGGCAGAGGGGAGGAAAUGUUUUUCUUCUUCAAUUGGAAACAAUAACACUGGGGGCUCAGGCUGUCUGGGAAGAGGGGCUCAGCCUGGGGACUGGAGAAGGUUCCCCCUGCAGGAAGUACUCCUAACACACAAGUGGAGGGCAGGAAAGUGCUGGAGGAGGCAGAGUAGAGGAAAAACAGGGGAGGGGCCCUGUAGCCACCUGGGGCUCUGCCCUUCCAGUCCUUCCUCACCAUGAGCCUGCAUGGGGACGGGAAGGGUCAGAGAGGUGGGGACAUAAGCCUGAAGCUGCACAGCCUGCUCAGUGUCCCAACUCAGCUCUUAGCCACUGUGUCCUCUGCCAUUCACCCUGGAGUUCACACCCCUAAGUUCCAACCUCAGCCUUGCCUGUAACCUCCUGGUGACCACAGGGAUAGGAGCUUCAGUUUCAAAUCUGAAGAGAGGCAUGGACUCCAAACCACAGCACUGCUGUGAGGAACGAAGCCGGCCACAUGUUGGAGCCGCUGGCCUCCGGUUUAAUUCAACUUAUUAAAUUUUCUUGGGCUGAUUCAAACUUUAGUAUUGCACAUAUGAAUUUUAAGGGGUGGGUCUGGGGAUUUAGCUCAGGGGUAGGGCAAUGACUUAGCAUCAACCAAGACCCUGGAGACAGCUACUCUCAUUUUGGGAUUUUGGAAAGGAGCCUUUGUCCAUGAAAGAAAGACCUGGUGUUCUCCCUUCACAUUGGAUUCUCUGCAUACCUACAAUCCCAGAACUUGGGAGGCCGAGGCAGGAGGACCACUAUGAGUGUGGCAGAGUGAAACCAUACCUCAAAAUUUACAGAAUGCUGGGUUUAUGAAGAUGUGCCUCUAUGCCUGUCUUGAAAAAAAAAAUUGAAUUCUAAAGCCAGAUGAUGCAGAAGUGGACACCUGUGAUCCCAGCACAGGGAGAGGGGAGGCUGGAAGCUCAGGAGUUCAAGGCCACCCUCACUACAGAGUGAGUCCGAAGCCAGCCUGAGAGAGCUAAGGUUUCAUUGUCUUUAAAACUUGUGAAAUUGUUUUCUUACAGUGACUGUUACUUCCUUGUUUG
This is a long non-coding RNA of Mus musculus (house mouse), 3462 nucleotides long. RefSeq annotates it as predicted gene, 53336. Lineage: Eukaryota; Metazoa; Chordata; Mammalia; Rodentia; Muridae. The record is from RefSeq and is a predicted model, not a curated record. The transcript is spliced from 3 exons.